This 71-nucleotide transfer RNA is filed under the name Marmota monax (woodchuck). Its description in RNAcentral is "tRNA.Val". It matches the Rfam family "tRNA". Rfam says of the family: Transfer RNA (tRNA) molecules are approximately 80 nucleotides in length. Their secondary structure includes four short double-helical elements and three loops (D, anti-codon, and T loops). Lineage: Eukaryota; Metazoa; Chordata; Mammalia; Rodentia; Sciuridae. The record is from RNAcentral.
GCGGGUGUGGCUCAGUGAUUGAGCGCUUGUCUCACAUGCAUGAAGCACUGGGUUCGAUCCUCAGCACCACA